AUCACUUCAUUUCCACACCAGAGAGGUACGUGAUCAAGGCUCUGUCUGUGCGGCAGAUGGCAGGCUUUAUGACAGCUUGUCUUGUGGAAUGGAAGCAGCAAAGACAGAUGUCCUUUGACAAGCCCAGGUUCACCAAACUAGAUCUCCAGAACUAAUCAGCAUUAAAAAAGAAGAGUGUCACUGCCAAGGUUGCUGCUUACCUUCAAAUAGCAGAGAUGGAUAUUUGCAACAGCUUGAAAGUUAAUGCAAAUGGAGGAGUAGAAGAUAUGUUCAUGGAUGUACUGUUCUACCUGAAGCAUGGAUAACAGGCCUUUCCAGUCCAACAAGCUCACUCCACCUAAUUACACCCAUGUGACCAGCUAAUGUACUAACCUGUACAUUUUUGAAUAUAAGAGGAAACCAGAGUUCCAGGAAGAAAUCAAAGCAGUCAUGCAUAGAAUGUACAAAGAGCUUACAAACAGUAAUGGAGUGAGUUUGGG
Molecule: long non-coding RNA, 479 nt
Organism: Hypanus sabinus (Atlantic stingray)
Lineage: Eukaryota; Metazoa; Chordata; Chondrichthyes; Myliobatiformes; Dasyatidae
Exons: 3
Source: RefSeq, a predicted model, not a curated record